CGGUAUGCGCACACUCCGCAGAAGGACUCCUGGUGCGGGCCGGUGAGUGGCUGCGCGCUGUCCGGGACGGAGGCACGUGACUGCAUCUAGCCACUGACAGCGGUCCUGUGGAACGAUAUGAAUGAACACAAUGGGUAAAAGUGCCCUUUAACUGCAAACACUCCCGUUGGCUUGAAAUGCUUUUUAAAAGAUCAGCAGCAGAGUAAAAGCGGGCACCCACGUGGCAUCGACGGACACAUCGUCAUCAUCAACACCUUCACCGCUAUCUGACACCUCAAGAAAGGAAGCAGCAGC
Molecule: long non-coding RNA, 294 nt
Organism: Hyla sarda
Lineage: Eukaryota; Metazoa; Chordata; Amphibia; Anura; Hylidae
Exons: 3
Source: RefSeq, a predicted model, not a curated record